UACGUAGGGUGCAAGCGUUAAUCGGAAUUACUGGGCGUAAAGCGUGCGCAGGCGGUUUUGUAAGUCAGAUGUGAAAUCCCCGGGCUUAACCUGGGAACUGCGUUUGAAACUACAAGGCUAGAGUGUGACAGAGGGGGGUGGAAUUCCACGUGUAGCAGUGAAAUGCGUAGAGAUGUGGAGGAACACCGAUGGCGAAGGCAGCCCCCUGGGUCAAGAUUGACGCUCAUGCACGAAAGCGUGGGGAGCAAACAGGAUUAGAAACCC
Molecule: ribosomal RNA, 264 nt
Filed under: uncultured bacterium
Lineage: Bacteria
Description: partial 16S ribosomal RNA
Rfam family: Bacterial small subunit ribosomal RNA
Source: RNAcentral